CCCUUAGAUGUUCUGGGCUGCACGCGCGCUACACUGAUGCGUUCAACGAGUUUACGGCCUUGCCCGAUAGGGUUGGGUAAUCUUCUUAAAACGCAUCGUGAUGGGGAUAGAUUAUUGCAAUUAUUAAUUUUCAACGAGGAAUUCCUAGUAAGUGCGAGUCAUCAGCUCGUACUGAUUACGUCCCUGCCCUUUGUACACACCGCCCGUCGCUACUACCGAUUGAACGGUUUAGUGAGGGCCUCGGAUUGGUCUCGGCCCGCUCUUUACCGGGCGGCGCCGUUGGUCGAGAAGACGCUCGAACUUGAUCGUUUAGAGGAAGUAAAAGUCGUAACA
RNAcentral lists this ribosomal RNA (333 nucleotides) under uncultured eukaryote. RNAcentral's name for it is "partial 18S ribosomal RNA". It matches the Rfam family "Eukaryotic small subunit ribosomal RNA", at positions 1470 to 1796 of the family's 1831-position model. The record is from RNAcentral.